Otolemur garnettii (small-eared galago) is the source of this 1756-nucleotide RNA transcript. It is a transcript of the gene named actin-related protein 2/3 complex subunit 1A-like, with no coding region annotated. The transcript is spliced from 2 exons. The record is from RefSeq and is a predicted model, not a curated record. Lineage: Eukaryota; Metazoa; Chordata; Mammalia; Primates; Galagidae.
UCUGGCUUCUCCACUUGAGCCAGUAACUUGCUUCACUUAGAUUUAGGUUCCUCCUGUAUAAAAACGGGAAGAAGCAUAGUCUUAAUGUUGAUAGGGUGAUGUGAGAAUUUAAUGCUCUUCUAUACAGCUGGGAAGCACAGCCACUGACACAUAACAAGCAGCCAUGAAACAGCUGCUUACUAUUAUCAGUUACAAUCCCUAUGGCGUUCAAAGAUAACUUGAGGCCUGCACCAUGGAGCCUGUUGGCGUUGACUGACCAGAGUCUGCAAAUUCUCUGCUCUGAUCCUGUCCUGACUGCCCCUACCCCAGCUGUCCAUUCUUUGAAAACAUGGAGAAUUAUGUCCCUGCAUCAGUUGUUACUAGAGCCAAUCACCUGUCAUGCCUGGAAUAGGGAUCCUACCCAAAUUGCCCUUAGCCCCCAUGGUCAUGAAGUGCAGACCUGCAAGAAAAAUGGGAGCCAGUGGUCAAAGCUCAUGAACUCAAGGAGCACAGCAGACACAUCAUAGGUAUUGACUGGGCUCCCAGAAGGGAACCACAUCAUCACUUUUAGGGCUGAUCGCAAGGCCUAUGUCUGGAGUCAGAAAAAUGGUGUCUGGAAGCCGGUUCUGGCGAUCCUGAGAAUUAAUCACGCAGCCACUUUUGUGAAGUGGUCUCCGCUAAAGAACAAAUUUGCUGCAGGAAGUGAAGCAUGACUCAUUUCUGUUUGUUACUCGAGUCUGAGAAUGACUGAUGGGUAAGCAAAAACAUAAAAAAGCCAAUUUGCUCCACAGUCCUCUGCUUGGACUGGCACCUCAACAAUGUUUGCUGGCAGCAGGAUCAAAUGCAGAGUGUUUUCUGCCUAGAUUAAGGAAGUGGAUGAAAAGCAGCCAGUACACCCUGGGGCAGCAAGAAGCCUUUUGGUCAGCUGAUGUCAGAGUUUGAGGGUAGUUGCACCAGUGGCUGGGUCCAUAGGGUCAGCUUCUCUGCCACUGGGAGCUGCCUAGCUUGGGUCAGUCAUAAAAGCACUUUAUCUAUUGCUGAUGCCUCAAAAAGUAUAUAGGUCUCAACUCUGAAAAGAGAGUUCCUGCCACUCCAGAAUCAUCUGUCUUGGACAAUAGUGUUGUGGCUGCUGGCCAUGACUGCUGCCCUGUGCUCUUUAACUACAAUGACCACGGCUGCUUGACCUUUGGGUCCAAGUGAGACAUUCCAAUACAGAGCACCCAGCACAGCAUGUCUGCCAUGGAACAUUUCUGCAACGUGGAUACAAGGGCCACGCCUGAGGACCGCAAUACAGCCUUGGAGAUGCCGCACCAGAAUAGCAUCACUCAAGCGUCUAUUUAAGAGGUAGACAAACAAGAUUGUCACAAACUUUGCACUACUGGCAUCAAUAGAGCCAUGACAAUUUGGGAUUUCAAGACCUUAGAGUCUUCUAUCCAGGGUCUCUGGAUAAUGUGAUGCUGAGUGAGCCUCUGCCAUCCAGCACGACAACAGUGGCUCUGCCAACAGAUAGCAAUGAAAGCCAGCCCCAAAGAAACACUGAAAACACACAUCACACAAAUAUUGUGUGGUUUUGUUUCAGUAUAAAAUUGGUGAAAGUGUUGGUAUUUUAAAAGCAACAGUGAUUUUUUUGGGGGGCGGAGGCCAUUUCAUUCCAUUGUUGACCAAAGCUUCUCAUUAAGUAGUUUAUUAUGGAGAAUUGUCACACUAACUUAAAGGAAAGGGUGAUGGAAAUAUGUAAAUUGUCCACUAGAAAAUUAAGUUAAAAUACUGAAUGUGG